CCUACGGGUGGCAGCAGUGGGGAAUAUUGCACAAUGGGGGAAACCCUGAUGCAGCAACGCCGCGUGAGUGAAGAAGUAUUUCGGUAUGUAAAGCUCUAUCAGCAGGGAAGAAAAUGACAGUACCUGACUAAGAAGCCCCGGCUAACUACGUGCCAGCAGCCGCGGUAAUACGUAGGGGGCAAGCGUUAUCCGGAUUUACUGGGUGAAAAGGGAGCGUAGACGGCUGCGCCAGUCAGAAGUGAAAGCACGGGGCUCAACCGCGGGACUGCUUUUGAAACUGUGUAGCUAGAGUGCAGGAGAGGUAAGUGGAAUUCCUAGUGUAGCGGUGAAAUGCGUAGAUAUUAGGAGGAACACCGGUGGAGAAGGCGGCUUACUGGACUGUAACUGACGUUGAGGCUCGAAAGCGUGGGGAGCAAACAGGAUUAGAUACCCUAGUAGUC
Molecule: ribosomal RNA, 440 nt
Filed under: uncultured bacterium
Lineage: Bacteria
Description: partial 16S ribosomal RNA
Rfam family: Bacterial small subunit ribosomal RNA
Source: RNAcentral